This 253-nucleotide ribosomal RNA is filed under the name uncultured bacterium. RNAcentral's name for it is "partial 16S ribosomal RNA". It matches the Rfam family "Bacterial small subunit ribosomal RNA", at positions 524 to 776 of the family's 1533-position model. The record is from RNAcentral.
UACAGAGGUGGCAAGCGUUGUUCGGAAUUACUGGGCGUAAAGGGCGCGUAGGCGGUCUUUUAAGUCUUGUGUGAAAUCCCUCGGCUCAACUGAGGAACUGCACGGGAUACUGGAAGACUUGAGUUCGGGAGAGGGAAGCGGAAUUCCGGGUGUAACGGUGAAAUGCGUAGAUAUCAGGAGGAAUACCGGUGGCGAAAGCGACUCUCUGGACGGCAACUGACGCUGAGGCACGAAAGCGUGGGGAGCAAACAGG